This 301-nucleotide ribosomal RNA is filed under the name uncultured bacterium. RNAcentral's name for it is "partial 16S ribosomal RNA". It matches the Rfam family "Bacterial small subunit ribosomal RNA", at positions 509 to 807 of the family's 1533-position model. The record is from RNAcentral.
CAGCCGCCGCGGGAAUACGAAGGGUGCAAGCGUUAAUCGGAAUUACUGGGCGCAAAGCGUGCGUAGGCGGUGAGUUAAGUCUGCUGUGAAAUCCCCGGGCUCAACCUGGGAAUGGCAAUGGAAACUGGACGGCUAGAGUGUGUCAGAGGAUGGUGGAAUUCCCGGUGUAGAGGUGAAAUUCGUAGAUAUCGGAAGGAACACCUGUGGCGAAAGCGGCUCACUGGACCAUUUCUGACGCUGAUGCACGAAAGCUAGGGGAGCAAACAGGAUUAGAUACCCCCGUAGUCCCUGUCUCUUAUAC